RNAcentral lists this ribosomal RNA (467 nucleotides) under uncultured bacterium. Its description in RNAcentral is "partial 16S ribosomal RNA". It matches the Rfam family "Bacterial small subunit ribosomal RNA", at positions 28 to 507 of the family's 1533-position model. The record is from RNAcentral.
GAUGAACGCUGGCGGCGUGCUUAACACAUGCCAGUCGAACGGAAAGGCCCAAGCUUGCUUGGGUACUCGAGUGGCGAACGGGUGAGUAACACGUGGGUGAUCUGCCCUGCACUUCGGGAUAAGCCUGGGAAACUGGGUCUAAUACUGGAUAGGACCACUUCUUGGAUGUUGUGGUGGAAAGUUUUUUCGGUGUGGGAUGAGCUCGCGGCCUAUCAGCUUGUUGGUGGGGUAAUGGCCUACCAAGGCGUCGACGGGUAGCCGGCCUGAGAGGGUGUACGGCCACAUUGGGACUGAGAGACGGCCCAGACUCCUACGGGAGGCAGCAGUGGGGAAGAUUGCACAAGGGGCGCAAGCCUGAUGCAGCGACGCCGCGUGGGGGAUGACGGCCUUCGGGUUGUAAACUCCCUUCGCUAGGGACGAAGCGUUUUGUGACGGUACCUGGAGAAGAAGCACCGGCUAACUACGUG